AUUACACACAGGAAGGUCACACCAUCCCUCACCAUUACAAGGGUGAAAAUGUUAUAAAGGUUGAGGUUAAGGAGGAAGAAGAAGAGAAAUAUGUGAGGAAUGAUCAGCAGUCUGUGGAGGAGGAUGGAAUAACGGGGACAUUUAUAGAGAAGGACACUUCUACAGAGAUCAGCACAGUAGAUGGACGGGAGAUGA
Molecule: long non-coding RNA, 195 nt
Organism: Rana temporaria (common frog)
Lineage: Eukaryota; Metazoa; Chordata; Amphibia; Anura; Ranidae
Exons: 3
Source: RefSeq, a predicted model, not a curated record